Molecule: ribosomal RNA, 441 nt
Filed under: uncultured bacterium
Lineage: Bacteria
Description: partial 16S ribosomal RNA
Rfam family: Bacterial small subunit ribosomal RNA
Source: RNAcentral
CCUACGGGAGGCAGCAGUGGGGAAUAUUGCACAAUGGGGGAAACCCUGAUGCAGCGACGCCGCGUGAGUGAAGAAGUAUUUCGGUAUGUAAAGCUCUAUCAGCAGGGAAGAAGAAAGACGGUACCUGACUAAGAAGCCCCGGCUAACUACGUGCCAGCAGCCGCGGUAAUACGUAGGGGGCAAGCGUUAACCGGAUUUACUGGGUGUAAAGGGAGCGUAGACGGCUGUGCAAGUCUGAAGUGAAAGCCCAGGGCUCAACCCUGGGACUGAUUUUGAAACUGUGGAGCUAGAGUGCUGGAGAGGGGAGUAGAAUGCCAUGGGUAGCGGUGAAAUGCGUAAAUAUUAGGAGGAAAACCAGGGGGGAAGGCGGCUUACUGGACAAUAACUGACGUUGAGGCUCGAAGGCGUGGGGAGCAAACAGGAUUAGAUACCCCUGUAGUC